GCCCCUCAGUCCUCCGGAGGCCGUCUCUAUGGCAGUUUAGUCCUCCAGGAUGCCCUCAGUCGGCUGCAGUUUUGGGGCUGGCCCAGCCCUUUGGGCAGGUGUCUUUGGGCAUGUAGAGAGGCAGAGGUCAGAAGUUUGAGGAGCACCGUGUUUUCCUAGAAUUCCUGACUUUAUUGAAGACGGAACUGUGUGUGGUUUUGCCAUUUUUGCUGUACGCUAUAAAUUGCACCCAUGAUGGCCAAGGCUGUCAAAGAUUUCAAAACCAGGUUCUCUCGGUAAGAAGUUUGCCGGGCCGGCCUGGCACUUUCCCUCCCGGGGACAAGUGGCACUGAAGGAGGAGAAGGUCCCCAAACAGCCCUUUUCUUCGGACUCUGGGGAGGCUGCAGCUUUGUCAUCUGGCAAAAGAAGGGCGUACAGAAUCUCCCAACACAAAAACCUGGGAAGUCUUGGCACCGGUGGAGAGUGGAAGAUCCAGAGACCAUUUACUGUUUAACCUCUUAAUACGUUAUUAAAUGGUUUUCAUUAC
This is a long non-coding RNA of Chroicocephalus ridibundus (black-headed gull), 526 nucleotides long. RefSeq lists it as uncharacterized. The transcript is spliced from 3 exons. The record is from RefSeq and is a predicted model, not a curated record. Lineage: Eukaryota; Metazoa; Chordata; Aves; Charadriiformes; Laridae.